GACUAAACCCGGCAACAGUGAAAAUCCUUUUUGUUGCCCCUUCGAUAAUUUCAGUGAUCAUGGCAACAAAAAGAUUGUAGCGAAUGGCGGGGCUGCAC
This 98-nucleotide small RNA is filed under the name Pedobacter zeae. Its description in RNAcentral is "Flavo-1 RNA". It matches the Rfam family "Flavo-1 RNA". The record is from RNAcentral. Lineage: Bacteria; Pseudomonadati; Bacteroidota; Sphingobacteriia; Sphingobacteriales; Sphingobacteriaceae.